Molecule: long non-coding RNA, 3876 nt
Filed under: Homo sapiens (human)
Lineage: Eukaryota; Metazoa; Chordata; Mammalia; Primates; Hominidae
Description: non-protein coding lnc-AGAP5-1:30
Source: RNAcentral
GUCCAAUCCGACCUGAGGAGUCACAGUUGUGAGCAAAUUAGAAUUACUUGUUAUUGGUAAAUAGCCACUAUGGAGACUAAGGACCAGAAGAAACAAAGAAAGAAAAAUAGUGGACCCAAAGCUGCAAAGAAAAAGAAGCGGCAUCUGCAGGAUCUCCAGCUAGGAGACGAAGAAGAUGCCUGGAAGAGAAAUCCCAAAGCUUUUGCAUUUCAGUCUGCUGUGUGGAUGGCUCGAUCCUUUCACAGGACUCAGGAUUUGAAGACAAAAAAGCAUCAUAUUCCAGUGGUUGAUCGAACUCCACUAGAGCCCCCACCAAUAGUGGUAGUGGUGAUGGGGCCUCCAAAGUUGGAAAGAGCACUUUGAUACAAUGCCUCAUUCGGAACUUCACCCGGCAGAAGUUGACCGAGAUCAGAGGCCCUGUGAUGAUCGUGUCAGGUAAAAAGCUCCGACUCACCAUUAUUGAAUGUGGGUGUGACAUUAACAUGAUGAUUGAUCUGGCUGAAGUAGCAGAUCUGGUACUGAUGCUUAUAGAUGCCAGCUUUGGGUUUGAAAUGGAAACGUUUGAGUUUCUAAACAUCUGUCAAGUACAUGGCUUUCCUAAAAUUAUGGGAGUUCUCACCCACCUCGACUUCUUCAAACACAAUAAGCAACUGAAGAAGACAAAGAAGCGAUUAAAACACAGGUUCUGGACAGAAGUUUACCUGGUUGCCAAGCUGUUCUGCCUUUCUGGAAUGGUGCAUGGAGAAUAUCAAAACCAAGAAAUGCACAAUCUGGGCCAUUUUAUUACAGUUAUGAAGUUUAGGCCUCUCACAUGGCAGACUUCUCAUCCUUAUAUCCUGGCAGACAGGGUGGAAGAUUUGACAAACCCAGAGGAUAUCCAAACAAACAUCAGAUGUGACCAGCAGAUGUUACUUUACGGUUAUUUAAGAGGAGCGCACUUGAAAAAUAAAAGCCAAAUUCACAUGCCAGGACGAGGUGGGGCCCACCCAUGAGCUGGUCCAGAGUCUCAUCUCCACCCACUCCACCAUUGAUGCCAAGAUGGCUUCAAGUCGAGUGAUGUUGUUUUCUGAUUCCAAGCCACUUGGGUCAGAGGCUAUAGAUAAUCAAGGUGUCAGAGAUGGCUUUGGAUUCCCCGUUCUGUGUGCUGCUGUCUGGCUCCUGAACCCAGCUGUAGAGGUGUGUCAAUCCCAACUGGUGAAGUACUGAGAGGAAGCUACACAAAAGGCAGCAAAGUAUUAGUGAGUGGUGUCAUUGAGCAAACACGAAGUCGGGCUCAUCCAAGGAUGAGAUUUUGCCAGAGAAAGGACGAGCAGCAAGUCAGGGAGCUUAAGCGUCAGCCUCGAGUUUGACCAGCAACAGGGGUCGGUGUGUCCCUCUGAAUCUGAGAUCUAUGAGGCAGGAGCUGGGGACAGGAUGGCAGGAGCGCCCAUGGCUGCUGCUGUGCAGCCUGCUGAGGUGACCGUUGAAGUUGGUGAGGACCUCCACAUGCACCACAUUCGUGACCAGGAGAUGCCUGAAGCUUUGGAGUUUAGCCUUUCUGCCAAUCCAGAGGCAAGCACAAUAUUCCAGAGGAACUCUCAAACAGAUGGUGAGACAACAGUGUCUGUAGCUCUGUUUAUUAUCCUGUGGGACUUUGUUUAGGCUUCUUUGAGCUAUUCUCUUCCUUUUCUCAAUAAAAACUCAAAUAUCCCAACUUUUCAGUACCCAUCUUAUUUUUUCUUUGUACCUAUCCAGAUGGUACCUAAGUGAAGGAACCAGGUAAGUGCCUAAUUGUUUCCUUUGUUAAAGUAGCCAAAUCUCAGGACAGUUCCUAUUCAAAUAUUUGGGGGUUUCUUAUUUAAAAUCAGAAUGGAGGUUGCCACGGGAGAGGCUAUAUGGUAUUCUUAAUGGGCUGCUUUAAGUCACCUUGAUAGAAGCUGCUUAGUUUCUUCUAACUGUAAUUUGAACACAGAAGGAAAAAGAAAAAAGAGUGCUUAAAAUAAUUGUGAAAGGUGUGAAAUGUCACAGCCGGGGCUGCAGAAAAAUGGUUGUGUGUGUGUGUUUGGGGUUUCUCAAAGGAGUUUACCUAUGAGGCUCUGAUUACUUUAAAAUUCUUACUUUAACAGAAAAUGUGUCUCCAGAUUUAUGCUGGUGACUUAACAGACUUUAUUUACCUCCUUGUUCUAAAAGAGAGGUGGGGAUUGGUUCAUGGUCAACACUUUCAAAAGACAUGAAAUGUCAAUGUAGACUUUUAAUAUGUAAUAUAAAGAUUGCAGGUUAAAAUGUCAGACCUUCCCUGUAAGAGUGUUUGUUGCCGUGGCUCCCCCUUUGUCCCUUCCCCUCCUGACAAUAGCAUCUUGUUCAAAGAUAAGAAAGUUACAGUUUUGGCUGGGCUUGGUGGCUCACGCCUGUAAUCCCAGCACUUUGGGAGGCCGUGGCAGGCAGAUCACCUGAGGUCAGGAGUUCGAGACCAGCCUGGCCAACAUGGUGAAACGCUGUCUCUACUAAAAAAAAAAUACAAAAAUUAGCUGGGUGUAGUGGCGCAUGACUGUAGUUCCACCUACUCACAAGGCUGAGGCAGGAGAAUUGCCUGGACCUGGGAGGUGGAGGUUGCAGUGAGCAGAGAUCACGCCAAUGCACUCCAGCCUGGGUGACAGAGCGAGACUCCGUCUCACAAAAAAAAAAAAGGAAAGAAAGUUGGAGUUUUUUAGUCUCUACACUGCUGGCAGAGGCAGGGGAUGGGAGCUGGUAGAAAAGAGAAAACAAUUAGUUGGUUUGCCUCUAAAAUUUUGCAAAGAGAUGAAUCUAAGUAAAAGUAAUUCUGGGUAAUAAUAUGGUUCUUGAAUAAAAACUGAAAUUUUCAAAAUAGAAAACAUUGCAUCAUAAACAUAUUAAAUCCAGUUGGCUUAUUGGUUUCAUUUAAAUGCCAGAGAUUUCAUUACUGUAGAGGAAAUGUCUUAUAGCUCUUCUAUUUAAACUUUGGUUGGGCUCUUAAUUUUUAAAGAGGUAGGAUAAUUAAGACUCAUUAUGAGUGUGACUUUGUAACUUGGAAGUACUAUCUUCACAUUUCAAGAUAUUUAAGGAUUGCUUUAGAAUAAACAAAUGUAUUAUGUGAAUUAAUUGAUUGUACCUUUAUACACAAAGCACAUAAGUACUUGUGUAAACUUAUACUCUGCUUGGUGAUGUUAGGAAAGCCUGAUGGAUGUUACACACCAGUUAGUAGAUGGGUAGUGUUGGAUGAGAGCCCAAAAAUGGCUCUUUAUUGUCAUUCUUUAGGAUUACAACACAGUUUAUGUAGUCUCACUUGGCCCUUUCCAAUACAAAUAAGGCCUGUGUAUGUUCUCCCUAUGUAUUGCUAAUGAAGAAAUGAAAACUUAGAGAUAUCACAUGACUAUGGAAGACAGCUACUCAAGAGAACUAAGGUUCUGUGUCCUCAGAAUGAAAUGGAAGUGACAGAUAUGAUGAAUUUACUUUUUAAAAAUUUUAAAAACUCUAGAAUACAUCUUAUAUUUUGCCUGUAAAAUAGACCUGUCUUUUAAAACUUACUGCCAUCUUGAUUUAUUUUAUGCAAAGUUGAUUUUACACAACUCAAAGCCAAAAUUUACCUCUUCAUUUUUUUUUUUUUUUUAAAUAAAGGAGGGUGUCAUUGUGUUACUCGUGCUGGCCUCAACUUCCUGACCUGGGUUCAAGUGAUUUUCCCAUCUCAGCCUCCUGAGUAGCUGGGACUACAAGCAUGUGCCAUCUUGCCUGGCUCUAUCUUAUGUCUAUACAUUCAUUUCAAUGUAUAAGAAUCAAAGUAGAGAUAGUGAAAUAGCCUAAAUGCAGCAGUUGAAUAAACGAGUUGAUAAAUUUUUAUCAAUGAUUACAUCUUUUUUUCUUUUCUUCCUCUAUGCAUAU